AGAGUUUGAUCAUGGCUCAGGACGAACGCUGGCGGCGUGCUUAACACAUGCAAGUCGAGCGGAAAGGCCCUUCGGGGUACUCGAGCGGCGAACGGGUGAGUAACACGUGAGCAACCUGCCCUUAGCUUUGGGAUAACCCUCGGAAACGGGGGCUAAUACCGAAUGUUCACUUCCCGUCGCAUGGUGGGGGGUGGAAAGUUUUUCGGCUAGGGAUGGGCUCGCGGCCUAUCAGCUUGUUGGUGGGGUGAUGGCCUACCAAGGCGACGACGGGUAGCCGGCCUGAGAGGGCGACCGGCCACACUGGGACUGAGACACGGCCCAGACUCCUACGGGAGGCAGCAGUGGGGAAUAUUGCACAAUGGGCGCAAGCCUGAUGCAGCGACGCCGCGUGAGGGAUGACGGCCUUCGGGUUGUAAACCUCUUUCAGCAGGGACGAAGGGUGACUGACGGUACCUGCAGAAGAAGCGCCGGCCAACUACGUGCCAGCAGCCGCGGUAAGACGUAGGGCGCGAGCGUUGUCCGGAUUUAUUGGGCGUAAAGAGCUCGUAGGCGGCUUGUCGCGUCGACUGUGAAAACCCGUGGCUCAACCAUGUGGUCUGCAGUCGAUACGGGCAGGCUAGAAUUCGGUAGGGGAGACUGGAAUUCCUGGUGUAGCGGUGAAAUGCGCAGAUAUCAGGAGGAACACCGGUGGCGAAGGCGGGUCUCUGGGCCGAUAUUGACGCUGAGGAGCGAAAGCGUGGGGAGCGAACAGGAUUAGAUACCCCCGUAGUCC
RNAcentral lists this ribosomal RNA (772 nucleotides) under uncultured bacterium. RNAcentral's name for it is "bacterial SSU rRNA". It matches the Rfam family "Bacterial small subunit ribosomal RNA", at positions 8 to 796 of the family's 1533-position model. The record is from RNAcentral.